Molecule: ribosomal RNA, 905 nt
Filed under: uncultured bacterium
Lineage: Bacteria
Description: bacterial SSU rRNA
Rfam family: Bacterial small subunit ribosomal RNA
Source: RNAcentral
ACGCUGGCGGCGUGCUUAACACAUGCAAGUCGAACGAAGCUGUUGUUUGGAGACCUUCGGGUGGAAGAAUAACAGACUGAGUGGCGGACGGGUGAGUAACGCGUGGGUAACCUACCUUGCACAGGGGGACAACAGUUGGAAACGACCGCUAAUACCGCAUAAGACCACAGUACCGCAUGGUACAGGGGUAAAAACUGAGGUGGUGCAAGAUGGACCCGCGUCUGAUUAGCUAGUUGGUGGGGUAAAGGCCUACCAAGGCGACGAUCAGUAGCCGACCUGAGAGGGUGAUCGGCCACAUUGGGACUGAGACACGGCCCAAACUCCUACGGGAGGCAGCAGUGGGGAAUAUUGGACAAUGGGGGGAACCCUGGUCCAGCGACGCCGCGUGAGUGAAGAAGUAUUUCGGUAUGUAAAGCUCUAUCAGCAGGGAAGAAAAUGACGGUACCUGACUAAGAAGCCCCGGCUAACUACGUGCCAGCAGCCGCGGUAAUACGUAGGGGGCAAGCGUUAUCCGGAUUUACUGGGUGUAAAGGGAGCGCAGACGGCUUGGCAAGUCUGAAGUGAAAGCCCGGGGCUUAACCCCGGGACUGCUUUGGAAACUGUGAAGCUAGAGUGUCGGAGAGGUAAGUGGAAUUCCCAGUGUAGCGGUGAAAUGCGUAGAUAUUGGGAGGAACACCGGUGGCGAAGGCGGCUUACUGGACGAUAACUGACGUUGAGGCUCGAAGGCGUGGGGAGCAAACAGGAUUAGAUACCCUGGUAGUCCACGCGGUAAACGAUGAAUACUAGGUGUCGGGGGACAUAGUCUUUCGGUGCCGCCGCUAACGCAUUAAGUAUUCCACCUGGGGAGUACGUUCGCAAGAAUGAAACUCAAAGGAAUUGACGGGGACCCGCACAAGCGGUGGAGC